UACUAUGCCUAACCGUAACAAAACAAUUAAAUAACCAAUUGUUCGCCAAAUAACUACGAGUACAAACUUAAAAUUUAAAAGACUUGACGGUGCUUCACAACAACCUAGAGGAGCCUGUCUAAUAACCGAUACUCCACGAUUAACCCAACCCACCCUAGCCUAUCAGUCUAUAUACCGCCGUCGCCAGCUUACCUUGUGAAAGAAACAAAGUAAACCCAACAAGCCACCCCUAACACGACAGGUCGAGGUGUAACAUAUGAGUGGGUAAAAGAUGGGCUACAUUUUCUAAAACAGAAAAUACGAACAGACUAUGAAACUAGAAAUUGAAGGCGGAUUUAGCAGUAUGUUAAGGACAAAACGCUUAACUGAAACUAAUGCAAUGAAGUGCGUACACACCGCCCGUCAUCCCUGUCACAAACAAUAAAAAAUUAAUAUAUACACAUUCCUUUUUUAAAGCAGGGCAAGUCGU
Molecule: ribosomal RNA, 469 nt
Filed under: Sibon longifrenis
Lineage: Eukaryota; Metazoa; Chordata; Lepidosauria; Squamata; Dipsadidae
Description: partial small subunit ribosomal RNA
Source: RNAcentral